Schistosoma mattheei is the source of this 46-nucleotide non-coding RNA. Lineage: Eukaryota; Metazoa; Platyhelminthes; Trematoda; Strigeidida; Schistosomatidae. The record is from Rfam.
GCACUGCUGAGGAGUCCCAUACUAGGACGAAAUGGUCAUCCAGUGC